GCUGGGAUAGCUCAGUCAGUAGAGCAUGAGACUCUUAAUCUUGGGGCCAAGGGUUCAAGCCCCACAUUGGGCA
Molecule: non-coding RNA, 73 nt
Organism: Podarcis lilfordi (Lilford's wall lizard)
Lineage: Eukaryota; Metazoa; Chordata; Lepidosauria; Squamata; Lacertidae
Source: the annotation of a GenBank genome assembly